UCCCUGGUGGUCCAGUGGUUAAGACUCUGCACUCCCAAUGUAGAGGGCCAGAGUCCAAUCCCUGGUCAGAGAA
RNAcentral lists this transfer RNA (73 nucleotides) under Bos taurus (domestic cattle). It matches the Rfam family "tRNA". From Rfam's summary of the family: Transfer RNA (tRNA) molecules are approximately 80 nucleotides in length. Their secondary structure includes four short double-helical elements and three loops (D, anti-codon, and T loops). Further hydrogen bonds mediate the characteristic L-shaped molecular structure. tRNAs have two regions of fundamental functional importance: the anti-codon, which is responsible for specific mRNA codon recognition, and the 3' end, to which the tRNAs corresponding amino acid is attached (by aminoacyl-tRNA synthetases). tRNAs cope with the degeneracy of the genetic code in two manners: having more than one tRNA (with a specific anti-codon) for a particular amino acid; and 'wobble' base-pairing, i.e. permitting non-standard base-pairing at the 3rd anti-codon position. The record is from Rfam by way of RNAcentral. RNAcentral also lists the same sequence under 1 other name. Lineage: Eukaryota; Metazoa; Chordata; Mammalia; Artiodactyla; Bovidae.